GUGAAUCAUCAAAUUUUUGAACGCAAAUUGCACUCUCUUCGGAGAGUAUGCCUGUUUGAGGGUCAGCCUAAAAAAAAUCGACAUCGUUGCUGUUUCGCGGUGGCGUUCGUCGGAAAUUGGGUUAUCUUAAAUCUUUGGUUAAGCCGACUUAAAAUUUCUUUUACGAUUCCUUGAACGUUCCCAGGAUUAAUUUCUUUCAACUUUUA
RNAcentral lists this unclassified non-coding RNA (206 nucleotides) under Glomus sp. RNAcentral's name for it is "partial contains 5.8S ribosomal RNA and internal transcribed spacer 2". The stretch from base 1 to 65 matches the Rfam family "5.8S ribosomal RNA", at positions 84 to 154 of the family's 154-position model. The record is from RNAcentral. Lineage: Eukaryota; Fungi; Glomeromycota; Glomeromycetes; Glomerales; Glomeraceae.